Molecule: long non-coding RNA, 487 nt
Organism: Pipra filicauda (Wire-tailed manakin)
Lineage: Eukaryota; Metazoa; Chordata; Aves; Passeriformes; Pipridae
Exons: 3
Source: RefSeq, a predicted model, not a curated record
UUACUCAACUUUCUCCGAGCUCUCCCGCCGCUUAAAAGUAAAGAGCCCCGCCGUAGGCUUCGAAGGAAAUCUGGUUUCACAGUUUAGAGAAAGGAGAAGGUCAAAACAUGGUUGUCAGGAAAAUGAGAUGGUUGCCAGAACAUCAGUCUGUGAUGGGUGCCAUACUGCAUUACUCUUUGAAUGGUGGAAUACAUCUUGGGAUUCUUCGGGGUGCUUAACGUGGUACAAACUGUACCGUACAGCUGCUUAGCAUCUUAAAUGUUUGCAUUCAUACAUAAUUGUUAAUGGUCUCCUGGGGGAAGUGGAAGAGUCUCUCGAAGCUGAAACUUGUGGAUAUGUAGAAAAUGCUGCUGAGACCAGUUGGAUUAUAUCAGAACCUGACAUCCAAGUUCUGCAGCUGAUGAAAGGAGUUCACCAGACGUUUUUGUUAUGUGGUUGCUGAAGCAUUAUCCUGGGACAAUAGUAAUGAUGGAUGGGUGAACGUACU